CCACAGUACCAACGAGCUGCACCUCGAGGCCAUUCUUGCAGGCUGGGGAUGAAAUCUGCCUGGAGAACUUGCAAAAUUCUGUCCCUGCUCUCCUCACAGUGGGAUGUGGAUGUAAACUUGCCUCUUUCUCAGAGCAGCUCUUAAGGGGUUCGUUCUGACACAAUGGAAAAAGAAAACAAAUCCUUCUCUGCUCUGUGCAGUUCCCUCACCAGAUCUUCAUCAAGCCAAAUUCUGAUCACAUUUUAUUUGGGUACAACAGCAAAGAUUUGGCUGGAAUGAUGCACACAGCAAUUCAGCAAACCAGCCUGUUUAUAAACAAGAGCAGCUGAAUUACAUUCAUAAAUCACUUGGAGAUCCUACUUUUGCCAGUCUUCAUCCUGCCAAUCAACAUUUGUAUAGGGUACGGGUACAGUUGUCACUGCAACUUAAUGUGUAAAGGAUGCAAGGUAUGGAGUCUGAAGACUGCUCUAAGAUCUGAACAAAAGAAUACUUUGUACUGUUCUGCAUUCUCAAGAAUGUCAGCAUAUCAGGUGUCUUUUGGAUAAGAGGGACCAGCAAACAACUUGUGACCCAAGAGGGAAAUAGCAGCAGCAGCAACUGUGCUCUUCUCCAAAGCUCAUGAUGAUGUUCCUCUUCCCUUGGUUUUGUCUGAGCAUUUCCUGGGACAAGAGCAAGAUCUUUUAUUUCACCAGCACCAAGUUCAGCAGCUCCCAAACGUCCCUAACCUGUGAGACGCCUCAUGCAAUGCAGGCCAGCAUCAUUCCAGCCACCAGCACAAGGCAGAAACAUGCACACACAGAGCAUCCUCCUGCCCAGGGCACCCUUCAGC
Melospiza melodia melodia is the source of this 829-nucleotide long non-coding RNA. RefSeq lists it as uncharacterized. The transcript is spliced from 6 exons. NCBI's taxonomy places the organism in Eukaryota, Metazoa, Chordata, Aves, Passeriformes, Passerellidae. The record is from RefSeq and is a predicted model, not a curated record.